CAAAGUAGAGCUUGUUAGUAAGUAUUUCAUUUACACUGAAGUGUAUUUCGUGCAAUUCGAAUUAUUUUGA
Molecule: transfer RNA, 70 nt
Filed under: Furcilarnaca wufengensis
Lineage: Eukaryota; Metazoa; Arthropoda; Insecta; Orthoptera; Gryllacrididae
Description: tRNA-Val
Source: RNAcentral